CUGGACCCAACCAACAUGGACCCCAAACGCCUAGGUAUUUUUUCUAAGCCAAUUUUUUAUUCUUUUUUUAACGCGAUUGAACACUAAUGUUUUACUAUUUCUUCAGGCCGAGUGUUGGGAUACGAGGUAGGCUACACUAGCGCAAAUCAAAAUUUCUACCGUGUAUAACCAGGAAGAACUGCCGUAUAAGGAUCACGGGAUUACCACUUGACGCACUACUGGUGCGGAAG
This 230-nucleotide long non-coding RNA is filed under the name Setaria italica (foxtail millet). RNAcentral describes it as "long non-coding RNA (SITA_LNC005851)". Lineage: Eukaryota; Viridiplantae; Streptophyta; Magnoliopsida; Poales; Poaceae. The record is from RNAcentral.